AAAUAAGAAGUAAUAAAUACAUAUUAAUUUCGACUUAAUAAAACUGAUAAAAUAAUAUCCUUAUUUU
This 67-nucleotide transfer RNA is filed under the name Nurudea yanoniella. RNAcentral describes it as "tRNA-Arg". The record is from RNAcentral. Lineage: Eukaryota; Metazoa; Arthropoda; Insecta; Hemiptera; Aphididae.